AUUCAAGAGCCGCCGGAACCGGUGGGUCCUACUCUACUUGCUGUGCCAUCUUCAGCUGGCGGCUGCGGAGCGAAGAAACGGAGAAGAGAAAAUGGCGAGAAGAGAAACGGUGAAGAAGGCGGAGGAGCUGGUGGAGAUGGCGAUGGGUGGUAACGACGCGUCGCACGAUCCUUCUCACGUCUGGAGAGUUCGAGACCUUGCUCUCUCACUAGCCCAAGAAGAAGGCCUCUCUUCCAAGACUGACUCCAUGGAAAUCGUUGAACUUGCUGCGCUCCUCCACGAUAUAGGUGAUUACAAGUACUUGAGAGACCCAAGUGAGGAAAAAGUUGUGGAGAAUUUUCUUGAGGAAGAGGGAAUUGAGGAAAACAAGAAACAAAAGAUAUUAGCGAUCAUAAAGGGCAUGGGCUUCAAGGAAGAGAUUGCUGGCCUUUCAAAAGUUGACUAUUCUCCAGAGUUUGGGGUGGUUCAAGAUGCUGAUCGUUUAGAUGCAAUUGGUGCUAUUGGUAGUUUGCUGUCAUAUUACAUCAAUUAUACAAUAGUCUCAUCCAUCCUUGAAACAACUACACCCUCUUUAAUUUUCUUUUCCUUUCAGGGAUUGCUCGAUGCUUCACUUUUGGUGGAAGCAAGAAGAGAGCGCUUCACGAUCCUGCAAUUCGUCCUCGAACAAGUUUAUCCAAAGAAGCAUACAUGAACAAAGAAGAGCAGACUACUGUGAAUCACUUCCACGAGAAGCUACUGAAAAUAAAGGAUAUGAUGAAAACAAAGGCUGGACAGAGGAGGGCAGAGAAAAGGCACAAGUUCAUGGAGGAAUUCCUGAAGGAGUUUUAUGAUGAAUGGGACCAAAAGGCUUAAUUCUUUAUUGAAGAUAUCAUCCAUUCUUCUCUGAAUCUCAAGCUGGAAAUGCAGAGAAAGAUUACUUGUAAGAAAACUACCAACCUUGCCCUAUUUCUAAAAAUGCAGUGUAUUAUUUAAGCAACUCAAUUCCACUAUAUAUGUUGUGAUACAAUAGGAAGAAUCGAACUUUUGUUCCAACAUGGAGUUUUCCCUUUUGGUUAGAUCCUGCAUAAAUAGUAUCAAUUUCACUUCUUAAGCAACUU
This is an RNA transcript of Cucurbita moschata (crookneck pumpkin), 1097 nucleotides long. RefSeq lists it as uncharacterized. NCBI's taxonomy places the organism in Eukaryota, Viridiplantae, Streptophyta, Magnoliopsida, Cucurbitales, Cucurbitaceae. The transcript has 7 exons. The record is from RefSeq and is a predicted model, not a curated record.